Molecule: ribosomal RNA, 349 nt
Filed under: uncultured bacterium
Lineage: Bacteria
Description: bacterial SSU rRNA
Rfam family: Bacterial small subunit ribosomal RNA
Source: RNAcentral
GAUGAACGCUGGCGGAGUGCCUAACAUAUGCAAGUCGAGCGGCAGCGCGAGUAGUUUACUACUUGGCGGCGAGCGGCGGACGGCUGAGUAACGCGUGGGAACAUGCCCCCAAAGUGAGGAAUAACUGCCCGAAAGGGUAGCUAAUGCCGCAUACGAUCUUCGGAUUAAAGGAUUUAUCCGCUUUGGGAGUGGCCUGCGUACGAUUAGAUAGUUGGUGAGGUAAUGGCUCACCAAGUCUACGAUCGUAACUGGUUUGAGAGGAUGAUCAGUCAGACUGGAACUGAGACACGGUCCAGACUCCUACGGGAGGCAGCAGUGAGGAAUCUUCCACAAUGGACGAAAGUCUGAU